AAGUGCUGGGAUUAAAGGCGUGCGCCACCACCGCCCGGCCAAGACAGCUUAUCUUUUAACCUGUUGAGUUAUGUGGUGUUAUGGACCAACAGUUUUGUGUUUUGGAUCUGGAAAGCUCUUUAUGCAAAUCAGAAAUGUGCAUGCCCUAGAGAACCUAUCUUCUGUUCUCUAGCAGCCAGGGCCAUCAACGUUCUUUGUUUGGAAUUUGUCCUAUGACUGCCUAAACUGAUGCUUGCCAGGUUGGUUCUUGUCAGUGGCGAGGGUCAGGAUUUCCUACUUUGUUUUGUUCACUCUGGUCACUGGACACUUGGGCCACUGUGAUGCCAAAUUUAAUUUGAAAGGUGCCAACUUAUUUGUAAUUCUAGUUUAGGCAACCUUCAUUCCACAGUAAGAUCCCUGAGCAGAUGGAAAGGAAGACACAGAGAGAAGAUCCAAAGGGAAAGAAGCAAAAGACCUGGUUGCUCCAGAGAUGAAGAAUCUUCACAAAGACCCAAGUGACACUAUGUGACCUGAAAAGGAAAAGUUCAGCACAAGCCUGAGAUAGAAAGAGUUAAAUUUGAGACUGGUGUUAGCUAAAUGAGAGGAUUACCGAAAACCGCAGGGGCCCAGGCCUUUGAAUACAGAUCAAAGUAAAGAAGAAAAAGCUGUUGAGUAUCCUGAGGACUAACGGGUCAGGAAGACAUAAAGCAUGAAGAGACGACAAAAAAUGCAAGGACAUCUUCGGAGCCUAGGCGUCUGGGACGUGCCCAAACGGACCUUGAGAAAUGGGCCACCUGGCCCUCUUAGAUUAGCUUAAGGUCAACUAGACACCUUGAAUAACAUUCCCCUUUCACUCGAAUAACACUCCCCUUCACUCCGCCUUUUUUAGGAAUUUUCAAUUAUAAUCUAUACGAACUACAUUUAAAAUAACCAAUCAUGUAUAGCCACCCUGAUUCCUUUGUUCCCUCAGACCUUUUCCCUAUAUAAACCCCUAACUUUCAAGCCUCGUGGUCGCUUUCCCAUCUCCUGUGUGAGUUUGGGAGAUGGCCCGGAGCUCCACCAUUAAAAAGCUGCCUCAUGCUUUUACAU
This is a long non-coding RNA of Mastomys coucha (southern multimammate mouse), 1068 nucleotides long. RefSeq lists it as uncharacterized. The transcript has 2 exons. Lineage: Eukaryota; Metazoa; Chordata; Mammalia; Rodentia; Muridae. The record is from RefSeq and is a predicted model, not a curated record.